RNAcentral lists this ribosomal RNA (211 nucleotides) under Clostridioides difficile. Its description in RNAcentral is "partial 16S ribosomal RNA". It matches the Rfam family "Bacterial small subunit ribosomal RNA", at positions 683 to 894 of the family's 1533-position model. The record is from RNAcentral. Lineage: Bacteria; Bacillati; Bacillota; Clostridia; Peptostreptococcales; Peptostreptococcaceae.
GAAAUGCGUAGAUAUUAGGAGGAACACCAGUUGCGAAGGCGGCUCUCUGGACUGUAACUGACGCUGAGGCACGAAAGCGUGGGGAGCAAACAGGAUUAGAUACCCUGGUAGUCCAAGCUGUAAACGAUGAGUACUAGGUGUCGGGGGUUACCCCCUUCGGUGCCGCAGCUAACGCAUUAAGUACUCCGCCUGGGAAGUACGCUCGCAAGAG